GUCGAACGGUAACAGCUCUUCGGAUGCUGACGAGUGGCGGACGGGUGAGUAAUGCGUAGGAAUCUGUCUUUUAGUGGGGGACAACCCAGGGAAACUUGGGCUAAUACCGCAUGAGCCCUGAGGGGGAAAGCGGGGGAUCUUCGGACCUCGCGCUAAGAGAGGAGCCUAUUUCCGAUUAGCUAGUUGGCCGGGUAAAGGCCCACCAAGGCGACGAUCGGUAGCUGGUCUGAGAGGACGACCAGCGACGCGCACACUGGGACUGAGACACGGCCCAGACUCCUACGGGAGGCAGCAGUGGGGAAUUUUUCGCAAUGGGCAUCCCUAUGGCAACCCUGACGAAGCAAUGCCGCGUGGAUGAAGAAGGCCUUCGGGUUGUAAAGUCCUUUCGUGGAGGACGAUAAGGUGGGUUCUAAUACCUAUUGACGUGAAUCCAAGAAGAAGCACCGGCAUCUUAUAACUCCGUGCCAGCAGCCGCGGUAAUACGGGCGGGUGCAAGCGUUAAUCGGAAUCACUGGGCUUAAAGGGUGCGUACGUUAGGUCUGUCGUGAAAUCCCCGGGCUCAACCUGGGAAUGGCGGUAGAAACCGGCGCACUAAAGUAUGGGAGAGGGUGGUGGAAUUCCAGGUGUAGCGGUGAAAUGCGUAGAUAUCUGGAGGAACAUCAGUGGCGAAGGCGGCCACCUGGCCCAAUACUGACGCUGAGGCACGAAAGCGUGGGGAGCAAACAGGAUUAGACGCGAUAAAUACCCUGGUAGUCCUCGCCCUAAACGAUGAAUACUAGAUGUUUGGUGCCUAGCGUACUGAGUGUCGUAGCUAACGCGAUAAGUAUUCCGCCUGGGAAGUACGGCCGCAAGGUUAAAACUCAAAGGAAUUGACGGGGGCCCUCACAAGCGGGUUUAAUUCGAUGCAACGCGAAGAACCUUACCUGGGCUUGACAUGUCCGGAAUUCUGCAGAGAUGCGGAAGUGCCCUUCGGGGAAUCGGAACACA
RNAcentral lists this ribosomal RNA (987 nucleotides) under Acidithiobacillus ferrooxidans. RNAcentral describes it as "bacterial SSU rRNA". It matches the Rfam family "Bacterial small subunit ribosomal RNA", at positions 61 to 1036 of the family's 1533-position model. Lineage: Bacteria; Pseudomonadati; Pseudomonadota; Acidithiobacillia; Acidithiobacillales; Acidithiobacillaceae. The record is from RNAcentral.